UUAAGCAUAUCAAUAAGCGGAGGAAAAGAAACCAACAGGGAUUGCCCUAGUAACGGCGAGUGAAGCGGCAACAGCUCAAAUUUGAAAUCUGGCUCUUUUAGAGUCCGAGUUGUAAUUUGCAGAGGGCGCUUUGGCUUUGGCAGCGGUCCAAGUUCCUUGGAACAGGACGUCACAGAGGGUGAGAAUCCCGUACGUGGUCGCUGGCUAUUGCCGUGUAAAGCCCCUUCGACGAGUCGAGUUGUUUGGGAAUGCAGCUCUAAAUGGGAGGUACAUUUCUUCUAAAGCUAAAUAUUGGCCAGAGACCGAUAGCGCACAAGUAGAGUGAUCGAAAGAUGAAAAGCACUUUGGAAAGAGAGUCAAACAGCACGUGAAAUUGUUGAAAGGGAAGCGCUUGCAGCCAGACUUGCUUACAGUUGCUCAUCCGGGUUUCUACCCGGUGCACUCUUCUGUAGGCAGGCCAGCAUCAGUUUGGGCGGUAGGAUAAAGGUCUCUGUCACGUACCUCCUUUCGGGGAGGCCUUAUAGGGGAGACGACAUACUACCAGCCUGGACUGAGGUCCGCGCAUCUGCUAGGAUGCUGGCGUAAUGGCUGUAAGCGGCCCGUCUUGAAACACGGACCAAGGAGUCUAACAUCUAUGCGAGUGUUUGGGUGUCAAGCCCGAGCGCGUAAUGAAAGUGAACGGAGGUGGGAACCCGCAAGGGUGCACCAUCGACCGAUCCUGAUGUCUUCGGAAGGAUUUGAGUAAGAGCAUGGCUGUUGGGACCCGAAAGAUGGUGAACUAUGCUUGAAUAGGGUGAAGCCAGAGGAAACUCUGGUGGAGGCUCGCAGCGGUUCUGACGUGCAAAUCGAUCGUCAAAUUUGGGCAUAGGGGCGAAAGACUAAUCGAACUAUCUAGUAGCUGGUUCCUGCCGAAGUUUCCCUCAGGAUAGCAGUAACGUAUUCAGUUUUAUGAGGUAAAGCGAAUGAUUAGAGGCCUGGGGGUUGAAACAACCUUCACCUAUUCUCAAACUUUAAAUAUGUAAGAAGUCCUUGUUACUUAAUUGAACGUGGACAGUUGAAUGAAACGUUAUUAGUGGGCCAUUUUUGGUAAGCAGAACUGGCGAUGCGGGAUGAACCGAACGAGGGGUUAAAGUGCCGGAAUAUACGCUCAUCAGACACCACAAAAGGUGUUGGUUCAUCUAGACAGCAGGACGGUGGCCAUGGAAGUCGGAAUCCGCUAAGGAGUGUGUAACAACUCACCUGCCGAAUGAACUAGCCCUGAAAAUGGAUGGCGCUCAAGCGUGUUACUUAUACCCCUCCGCUGGGGCAAAAUUUACGCCCCA
This 1322-nucleotide ribosomal RNA is filed under the name Alternaria sp. CBS 174.52. RNAcentral's name for it is "eukaryotic LSU rRNA". It matches the Rfam family "Eukaryotic large subunit ribosomal RNA", at positions 34 to 1376 of the family's 3401-position model. The record is from RNAcentral. Lineage: Eukaryota; Fungi; Ascomycota; Dothideomycetes; Pleosporales; Pleosporaceae.